Molecule: ribosomal RNA, 253 nt
Filed under: uncultured bacterium
Lineage: Bacteria
Description: partial 16S ribosomal RNA
Rfam family: Bacterial small subunit ribosomal RNA
Source: RNAcentral
GACGAAGGGGGCUAGCGUUGUUCGGAAUUACUGGGCGUAAAGCGCACGUAGGCGGCUUGGUAUGUCGGGUGUGAAAUCCCCGGGCUCAACCUGGGAACUGCAUCCGAAACUGCCUUGCUCGAGUAUGGGAGAGGGAAGUGGAAUUUCCGGUGUAGCGGUGAAAUGCGUAGAUAUCGGAAGGAACAUCAGUGGCGAAGGCGACUUCCUGGACCAAUACUGACGCUCAGGUGCGAAAGCGUGGGGAGCAAACAGG